GACGAACGCUGGCGGCGUGCUUAACACAUGCAAGUCGAACGGUGAUAGCGGAGCUUGCUCCGCUGGAUCAGUGGCGAACGGGUGAGUAACACGUGGGCAACCUGCCCCAGACUUCGGGAUAACUCUUCGAAAGAGGUGCUAAUACCGGAUACGAACUCUGCAGGCAUCUGUGGAGUUGGAAAGUUUUCGGUCUGGGAUGGGCCCGCGGCCUAUCAGCUAGUUGGUGAGGUAGUGGCUCACCAAGGCGACGACGGGUAGCCGGCCUGAGAGGGCGACCGGCCACACUGGGACUGAGACACGGCCCAGACUCCUACGGGAGGCAGCAGUGGGGAAUAUUGCGCAAUGGGCGAAAGCCUGACGCAGCAACGCCGCGUGCGGGAUGAAGGCCUUCGGGUUGUAAACCGCUUUCAGCAGGGAAGAAGCGAAAGUGACGGUACCUGCAGAAGAAGCACCGGCUAACUACGUG
This 466-nucleotide ribosomal RNA is filed under the name uncultured bacterium. Its description in RNAcentral is "bacterial SSU rRNA". It matches the Rfam family "Bacterial small subunit ribosomal RNA", at positions 28 to 507 of the family's 1533-position model. The record is from RNAcentral.